Long non-coding RNA from Mesocricetus auratus (golden hamster), 2258 nucleotides. RefSeq lists it as uncharacterized. The transcript is spliced from 4 exons. The record is from RefSeq and is a predicted model, not a curated record. Lineage: Eukaryota; Metazoa; Chordata; Mammalia; Rodentia; Cricetidae.
UAACAAUCACGCGGCUGCUACCUUUCUGCCAGGGCAGCAGGAUGGGUAGAAACGAAAAGUAGAGCAGGAAGUUGCUCUGCUUAUUGGAAGCUUGUGACCCAGCCCUGCUGCUGCCUGUCGGUCUGCCGGGAGCCUGGAAAGAUGCGGGAGCCCCGGAUCACGUGAAGGGGCCAGUCCUACAGAUCCAAAACUAUAGGAUCUCCACGGCACACGGCAGCAACAGGAUAUCCAAGAGGAGUUCCAGUGAGGGGCCAAGUAACGACGGUGCAGCAAAAACCAGAGGACUGGAAGCAGAUCAAUGAUUCAUUGCAAUGAACACCCUCAAGUAAAGACAGAAAGAUUUAAUAAUGAGACCGUGUGGCAGCCUGGCCUGGGUGGAGCGGCUAAUCAAAGCAAAGCCCCAAGCAGCCUGCCUUCCUGCCAUCCACAAACGGUGAACUUUCGGGCAAGGGAUGAGCUGCAAAAAUGUGAUUGGAAACCUUAAAUUCUCGGGCUCUGGCCAUGGCUCCACUGAAGGCUUGCCUGCCUGGUGUACAGAAAGCCCUGGAUUGGAUCCCUGUGUCUCAUAAAGCUAGGUGUCAUGGUACACAGCUACAGUUCUGGAACUUGGGAGCUGGAGGCAGUGGGGACAGAAGAUAAAGGUCAUCCUUAUCUGUGUACCAAGUUUGAAACCAGAGAGUCCUACGAGCAACCGUUCUAAAGGAAAGAACACUUCAAUUCUCAGUCUACAGCUGUGUAGCCUACACCUAAAAAUGCUGAAACUUGAAACUGACAGAUAGGAGAAACUGGGGGUAACUAUAAAUAAGAAAUGGAAUUUUGAUGAAAGGCCUUAUACCUAGUGCAAGUGUAACAUCUUUUAAAGAAUAUUUAUGGAGAAUCCCUCCUGUGGGUGUUCCUUCUCAGUUUUCCUUUAUAAAUCUACUUUCAGUAUAAAUAAGUAAGUAGAUAGACAAGUAGGUAGAUACAUAUAGAUAGACAGACAGACAUGUUUACGACAGCUGGGAAGAUGGCUCAAUGGGUUAUGUACUUGUCACACAAUCAUGCAGAUCUGAACUUGGCAGUGCACCCCUGUAAUCCCAACAUGUGUCUAUAAUCCCAGUAGUAGGAAAGUAGAGACAGGAAAAUCCCUGGGGCUGGCUGGCCAGGUAGGUUUGCCAAAUCACUGAGCUCUAGGUUUAGUGAGAGACUGUCUGCCAAAUCAUUGAGCUCUACGCUUAGUGAGAGACUUUGUCUGGAAGAGAUCAGUAGAGCAAGACUUCAUAUAUAUACCACACAUGCACAAAAUAUUUUGGUAUAGUUGUGUAUAGUUGUAUAGCCAGUUAUUCAUGGUAUAAAGAAAAAGAAAUCAAACAUUUUAAACGUAGACAUAGUAAGCCCUUUAAAAGUCAAGGACUGAUUAACCUUUACAAGCCAGAAACCAAGAAUGCAUCAGUUUUCACAGUAUGGACAUGCUACAAUAGAAGUACAUAUUAGCUGAGAAACAAGCAAGCGAUCGGUAUCACUGUACGACUAGAGGAAGAAACAAUAGUGAAAGGAAUAUCACCAUCUGCCUCUUGGCAAUACACAGCAACCUAGCUAAUUAAAAGACUUAGCUACAAGGGACAGAAAGGGAUGGUAGGCAAUCUGAAGGUACUUUGCUUUAUUAACAGGUAACUUUCUGGGCAUUGAUAGGCCUGCUAUUUUGUUGUAUUCCCUUAUUAUCAGCUUAAUACAUCAAGAACAAUCUACUACGUAAAUAGUAUUGAACUAUUCGAGGCACAAGAUGAUUUUGGAUCUUCAGGGUAACCAUGUAAAUUCUGUGCUAAUAUCUGUGCAGAUGUUACAACAGCAGAGUUAGGCGACAUGGCAGCUGCCUUAGUAGGAAUCAUGGCAGCACCUUCAAACUGCCCUGGGAGUCACUGCCUUCUUCACCUUCACCCAUUAACAAGAAAGGAAAUGAUAAUUUCACAUGAGAAAACCCUUGGCAAAACAAAGAAUAUAUUUUCAUAAACCCCUGUGGUGGUUUGAGAGAAUAGCCACCAUAGACUCAUAUUUGAAAGAUUGAUCCCUAGUUGGUGGAACUGCUUGGGAAGGAUUGGGAGGUGUGGCCUUGUUGGAGGAGGUGUGUCACUGGGGGUGAGCUUUCAAAUUUCAAAAGACUACAUUCUGGGCAUUGGUGGCACACACCUUUAAUCCCAGCACUCAGGAGGCACUGGCAGGAGGAUCUCUGUGAGUUUAAGACCAGCCUGGUCUACAGAGCGGGUUCCAGGACAGGCUCC